RNAcentral lists this long non-coding RNA (201 nucleotides) under Catagonus wagneri (Chacoan peccary). RNAcentral describes it as "lncRNA (ENSCWAG00000010954.1)". Lineage: Eukaryota; Metazoa; Chordata; Mammalia; Artiodactyla; Tayassuidae. The record is from RNAcentral.
CAGGACGUGUGAAGUUAGGCAGUCUAGGGGUCUUGGCCUCGGGAACUUGGUGACUGUGAUGUUGCCGGGACGGGGCGGAGCAGGCCCCAGACUGUGAUGAGGGCCCCAGGAUUUGCCUCUUUGAUGUGCCAGGAGAGAAGAGGCCUGUGAAGCGGCUGCCACUGUGAGGGUCCCAGGAUUUGCCUCUGGCUACAACUACAU